RNAcentral lists this long non-coding RNA (1146 nucleotides) under Coturnix japonica (Japanese quail). RNAcentral's name for it is "lncRNA (ENSCJPG00005016034.1)". The record is from RNAcentral. Lineage: Eukaryota; Metazoa; Chordata; Aves; Galliformes; Phasianidae.
AUGGGGGCACCGAAAUGGGAGCAGGGAGAGCGGGGAUGGAGAGGUGGGAAAAGCCCAAAGGCGGCACCGGGAGCGAUCGGGUUCUGUACCGGGAGAGGCCAAAAAGUGCUGGGUGAGCUCAGACGGAACAACGGGACAGCCCGAAUCCGGUACCGGGACAGCCCCAAAGCCGGUACCGGGACAGCCCGAAUCCGGUACCGGGACAACACGAAUCCGGUACCGGGACAGCCCGAAUCCGGUACCGGGACAACCCGAAUCCGGUACCGGGACAGCCCCGAAUCCGGUACCGGGACAACCCCAAAUCCGGUACCGGGACAGCCCGAAUCCGGUACCGGGACAACCCGAAUCCGGUACCGGGACAGCCCCAAAGCCGGUACCGGGACAGCCCCGAAUCCGGUACCGGGACAGCCCCAAAGCCGGUACCGGGACAGCCCCGAAUCCGGUACCGGGACAGCCCGAAUCCGGUACCGGGGCAGCCCCAAAGCCGGUACCGGGACAACCCGAAUCCGGUACCGGGACAGCCCGAAUCCCGCACCAACCCAGCUCCAAUCCCGCACAGGGAGAACUCCAGCCCCGCACUCCCAAAGCCCCAAAUCCCUCCCCAGGAAUUCCCCGCUCACACCCGCACAGCCCGAAUCCACAUCCCGCACCGAGGGAACACGAAACCCGCAUCGGGACGGGCCCGAACUCCGCACAGAGAGAACCCAAAGCGGGCACCGAGAGAGCCCCGAACCCACAACAUGCACAACAUGCACCCCAAAACCCACAACAUGCACCCCAAAACCCACAGCAGGACACCCCAAAACCCGCACCAGGACAGCCCCGCACCCCGCCCCGCACAGCAGAACCCGCUCUGCCCCGCUCCCCACCGCCGAACCGCUCCGGUUCCGCUCCGGUUCCGCUCCGGUUCCGCUCCGGUUCCGUGCCGGUUCCGUGCCGGUUGUUCUCUUUGGGUCCGGUUCCCCCCCCACGGCACCGAGCUCCGCCCCGCCCCGCCCCGGGCACCGGCACCGCUUCCGCCUGUCCCGGAGUGAGUCAGCGCGGCCGCGUGGGGACGGGACCUAUAGGAUCCGAUGGGAUGGGGCAGAACCCUACAGGACCCGAUGGGAUGGGGCCUAUAGGAUCCGACGGGACAAAACACUUUAG